GUGUUUAUUUCGGCAGCACGUAUACUAAAGCGGGAAUGCUGCAGAGAAGGUUGGCAUGGCCCUUAUGCAAGGAUGACAUGCAAAUUCAUGAAGCGUUUCAUAUUUAA
Small nuclear RNA from Camelus dromedarius (Arabian camel), 107 nucleotides. Lineage: Eukaryota; Metazoa; Chordata; Mammalia; Artiodactyla; Camelidae. The record is from Ensembl.